AGGCCCCCCACAAGAGCAGGGAAUUGAUGCUCUGUGCUGACUUCCAGAAAGGGGAGUUAGGAAUUAUUAGAGUAUAUUGCCAGUAUAUGACUAAGGGAAUUAAAGAGAUGGUACCUCAGUCUCUAAAAAUGUACAGAGGACUCUGUUUUUGGAACAAAAAGAAAGGUGAAACUGCAUCUGAGGGGCUGGGGAGACUGAAGGAACAGAUGGGCAGAGAUAUGGAUAGAAAUAUGGAUUCACAAAAUCCAGCACAUCAGAUACUGCUGAAGUAUCAGUCUUAAGGGAGGUAGGAUAGGACUGAACAGAAAUUGGAUA
Varanus komodoensis (Komodo dragon) is the source of this 315-nucleotide long non-coding RNA. RefSeq lists it as uncharacterized. The record is from RefSeq and is a predicted model, not a curated record. The transcript has 3 exons. NCBI's taxonomy places the organism in Eukaryota, Metazoa, Chordata, Lepidosauria, Squamata, Varanidae.